Molecule: long non-coding RNA, 414 nt
Organism: Oreochromis aureus
Lineage: Eukaryota; Metazoa; Chordata; Actinopteri; Cichliformes; Cichlidae
Exons: 3
Source: RefSeq, a predicted model, not a curated record
GGCAGAGUACGCACCACAGCAUCGUCGCUGCUUUCGCAAAUGAUGGUCUCGUCGAAGUCAAACAACACCAAAAAGCGUUGAUCCUGUGGUGCGGCAGGCGUUAACGGAGCUGUCAUCUUUGGCGAUGUGUUGCAGGUCGGAAAAAACUCAAGCUGUCCCUUUGCCUGAUGGUGGAAAUAUCCCUCUAAAAAUAUACAGAGGCAUUCCUGUAUCAGCAGCAGUCACAAAAUCCAUGGCGGAUGAGGGAUAUCCACACACUGGCUUCUUGGUGAGUAAAUGAAGCUAAAUCAAAGGUUACAAAAGUAUUCAGGAUAAAGAAAAGCAAAUAUGUUUCUUCAUACACUGCCCUUCAGUUUCAUUCUAAACUUACCAGAGAUCAAAACAUUACUGCAAAUAAAUUUCUUUCUGCUCUGU